Molecule: ribosomal RNA, 1778 nt
Filed under: bioreactor sludge metagenome
Description: bacterial LSU rRNA
Rfam family: Bacterial large subunit ribosomal RNA
Source: RNAcentral
GGUGUUGCGCCGAAGAUGUCCGGGGCUAAAAUCUAUUACCGAAGUUGUGGGAUGUACGAAAGUACAUCGGUAGAGGAGCAUUCUGUGCAGGAAGAAGUUCCAUCGAAAGAGGAUAUGGACAGUACAGAAGAGAGAAUGUUGGCAUGAGUAGCGAAAGGUGAGUGAGAAUCUCACCCAUCGAAAGCCUAAGGAUUCCUGAGGAAGGCUCGUCCACUCAGGGUAAGUCGGGACCUAAGCCGAGGCGUAUUGCGUAGGCGAUGGACAACUGGUUGAAAUUCCAGUACCACCUUUAAGCGUUUGAGAAAUGGGGUAACACAGAAGGGUAGGCUAGCGCACUGAUGGAAUAGUGCGUCUAAGUAAGUAGGGAGACACCGGAGGCAAAUCCCCGGAGUCAAUCCUGAGAUACGAAUGGGAGCGAAAAGAAGUAGUGAAGUAGUUGAGCCCACGCUGUCAAGAAAAGCCUCUAUCGAGCAAGAAGGUGCCCGUACCGCAAACCGACACAGGUAGGCAAGGAGAGAAUCCAAAGAUGAGCGGAAGAACUAUUGUUAAGGAACUAGGCAAAAUGACCCCGUAACUUCGGGAGAAGGGGUGCCCAUUGGAGUGAAGUCUGAACAGAUGGAGCUUCGAAGGGUCACAGAAAACAGGCCCAAGCGACUGUUUACCAAAAACACAGGUCUCUGCUAAAUCGAAAGAUGAAGUAUAGGGGCUGACACCUGCCCGGUGCUGGAAGGUUAAGGGGAGAAGUCAUCGAAAGAGAAGCUUUGAACUUAAGCCCCAGUAAACGGCGGCCGUAACUAUAACGGUCCUAAGGUAGCGAAAUUCCUUGUCGGGUAAGUUCCGACCCGCACGAAAGGUGUAACGAUUUGGGCACUGUCUCAACAAUAGAUCCGGUGAAAUUGUAGUACUCGUGAAGAUGCGAGUUACCCGCGGCAGGACGGAAAGACCCCAUGGAGCUUUACUGCAGGCUGACAUUGGAAUUCGGUAGCAAUUGUACAGGAUAGGUGGGAGACAAAGAAGCAUGCACGCCAGUGUGUGUGGAGUCGACGUUGGGAUACCACUCUAUUGUUACUGAAUUUCUAACAUGAUACCGUAAUCCGGUAUAUGGACACUGUCAGUUGGGCAGUUUGACUGGGGCGGUCGCCUCCGAAAGAGUAACGGAGGCGCUCAAAGGUUCCCUCAGCACGGUCGGAAAUCGUGCGAAGAGUGUAAAGGCAGAAGGGAGCUUGACUGAGAGAGAGACAUCUCGAUCAGGAACGAAAGUUGGACUUAGUGAUCCGGUGGCACCGAGUGGAAAGGCCAUCGCUUAACGGAUAAAAGCUACCCUGGGGAUAACAGGCUUAUCUCCCCCAAGAGUCCACAUCGACGGGGAGGUUUGGCACCUCGAUGUCGGCUCGUCUCAUCCUGGGGCUGAAGUAGGUCCCAAGGGUUGGGCUGUUCGCCCAUUAAAGAGGCACGCGAGCUGGGUUCAGAACGUCGUGAGACAGUUCGGUCCCUAUCCGCCGUGGGCGUAGGAAAUUUGAAGGGAGCUGUUCCUAGUACGAGAGGACCGGAAUGGACAGACCGCUGGUGUAUCAGUUGUUCCGCCAGGAGCAUGGCUGAGUAGCUAAGUCUGGAAAAGAUAAGCGCUGAAGGCAUCUAAGCGCGAAACAGACCUUAAGAUAAUAUUUCCCAUCACGCAAGUGAGUAAGACCCCUGAAAGGCUAUCAGGUAGAUAGGUUACAUGUGUAAGUGCAGUAAUGCAUUAAGCUGAGUAAUACUAAUAGGUCGAGGUCUUGACC